RNAcentral lists this non-coding RNA (43 nucleotides) under Schistosoma mattheei. Lineage: Eukaryota; Metazoa; Platyhelminthes; Trematoda; Strigeidida; Schistosomatidae. The record is from RNAcentral.
CGUCAGCUGGAGUCGCAAACAGGACGAAACGCGCGUCCUGGNN